Molecule: ribosomal RNA, 253 nt
Filed under: uncultured bacterium
Lineage: Bacteria
Description: partial 16S ribosomal RNA
Rfam family: Bacterial small subunit ribosomal RNA
Source: RNAcentral
UACAGAGGGGGCAAGCGUUGUUCGGAAUCACUGGGCUUAAAGGGCGCGUAGGGGGGUGCUCAAGUCUGUGGUGAAAUCCUCCGGCUCAACCGGAGAACUGCCAUGGAUACUGGGUGCCUCGAGGGUGGUAGGGGUAUGCGGAACUAUCGGUGGAGCGGUGAAAUGCGUUGAUAUCGAUAGGAACUCCGGUGGCGAAGGCGGCAUACUGGACCACUUCUGACGCUGAGGCGCGAAAGCCAGGGGAGCAAACGGG